RNAcentral lists this ribosomal RNA (460 nucleotides) under uncultured bacterium. RNAcentral describes it as "partial 16S ribosomal RNA". It matches the Rfam family "Bacterial small subunit ribosomal RNA", at positions 338 to 795 of the family's 1533-position model. The record is from RNAcentral.
CCUACGGGAGGCAGCAGUGAGGAAUAUUGGUCAAUGGCCGUAAGGCUGAACCAUCCAAGUCGCGUGAAGGAAGAAGGAUCUAUGGUUUGUAAACUUCUUUUAUAGGGGAAUAAAGGUAUCCACGUGUGGAUAUUUGCAUGUACCCUAUGAAUAAGCAUCGGCUAACUCCGUGCCAGCAGCCGCGGUAAUACGGAGGAUGCGAGCGUUAUCCGGAUUUAUUGGGUUUAAAGGGUGCGUAGGUUGUUUUUUAAGUCAGCGGUGAAAGUUUGUGGCUCAACCAUAAAAUUGCCGUUGAAACUGGAAGACGUGAGUGUGUUUGAGGUAGGCGGAAUGCGUGGUGUAGCGGUGAAAUGCAUAGAUAUCACGCAGAACUCCGAUUGCGAAGGCAGCUUACUAAGCCAUAACUGACACUGAAGCACGAAAGCGUGGGGAUCAAACAGGAUUAGAUACCCCUGUAGUC